AAGAUAAUGUAUACAGCCUGACACCUGCCCGGUGCUGGAAGGUUAAGAGGAGAUGUCAUCGCAAGAGAAGCAUUGAAUUGAAGCCCCAGUAAACGGCGGCCGUAACUAUAACGGUCCUAAGGUAGCGAAAUUCCUUGUCGGGUAAGUUCCGACCCGCACGAAAGGCGUAACGAUUUGGGCACUGUCUCAACAACAGACUGGGUGAAAUUGUAAUACCGGUGAAGAUGCCGGUUACCUGCGACAGGACGGAAAGACCCCAUGGAGCUUUACUGUAGCUUGACAUUGAGUCUCGGUGCUACAUGUACAGGAUAGGUGGGAGGCUAUGAAGCAUGGACGUCAGUUUGUGUGGAGCCAUCCUUGGGAUACCACCCUUGUAGUACUGGGAUUCUAACCAGCUGCCUUGAAUCAGGUAGUGGGACACUGUCAGGUGGACAGUUUGACUGGGGCGGUCGCCUCCUAAAGAGUAACGGAGGCGCUCAAAGGUUCUCUCAGUACGGUCGGAAAUCGUACGUAGAGUGUAAAGGCAGAAGAGAGCUUGAUUGCAAGACAUACAGGUCGAGCAAGGACGAAAGUCGGACUUAGUGAUCCGGUGGUACCGCAUGGAAGGGCCAUCGCUCAACGGAUAAAAGCUACCCUGGGGAUAACAGGCUGAUCUCCCCCAAGAGUCCACAUCGACGGGGAGGUUUGGCACCUCGAUGUCGGCUCAUCACAUCCUGGGGCUGUAGUAGGUCCCAAGGGUUGGGCUGUUCGCCCAUUAAAGUGGUACGCGAGCUGGGUUCAGAACGUCGUGAGACAGUUCGGUCCCUAUCCGUCGCAGGCGUAGGAAAUUUGAGGAGACCUGUCCUUAGUACGAGAGGACCGGGAUGGACGUACCGCUGGUGUACCAGUUGUUCUGCCAAGGGCAUAGCUGGGUAGCUAAGUACGGAAAGGAUAAGCGCUGAAAGCAUCUAAGCGCGAAGCCUACUUCGAGAUAAGAUUUCCCACCGCAAGGUUAAGACCCCAUGAAGACUACAUGGUUGAUAGGUCAGAGGUGGAAGUGUGGUAACAUAUGUAGCUUACUGAUACUAAUAGGUCGAGGACUUGACCAA
RNAcentral lists this ribosomal RNA (1088 nucleotides) under human gut metagenome. Its description in RNAcentral is "bacterial LSU rRNA". It matches the Rfam family "Bacterial large subunit ribosomal RNA", at positions 1835 to 2925 of the family's 2925-position model. The record is from RNAcentral.